AGCUCCAAUAGCGUAUAUUAAAGUUGUUGCAGUUAAAAAGCUCGUAGUUGGACUUUAGGCGAGCCGGGCCGGUCCGCCACUGGCGGUACUAGCUCUGGCGAGCCUCACCUUCGGGAAACCAGCGUUCUGCGCUGGGGAACCGAGCCUUACUUUGAGAAAAUUAGAGUGUUUAAAGCAGGCUUACGCUUGAAUACUUCAGCAUGGAAUAACAAGAUAGGACUUUGGUUUUAUUUUGUUGGUUUGAGAACCAAAGUAAUGAUUAAUAGGGACAGUUGGGGGCAUUAGUAUUCAGUAGUCAGAGGUGAAAUUCUUGGAUUUAUUGAAGACUAACUAAUGCGAAAGCAUUUGCCAAGGAUGUUUUCA
RNAcentral lists this ribosomal RNA (363 nucleotides) under uncultured eukaryote. RNAcentral's name for it is "SSU rRNA". It matches the Rfam family "Eukaryotic small subunit ribosomal RNA", at positions 587 to 972 of the family's 1831-position model. The record is from RNAcentral.